RNAcentral lists this long non-coding RNA (494 nucleotides) under Heterocephalus glaber (naked mole-rat). RNAcentral describes it as "lncRNA (ENSHGLG00100043119.1)". Lineage: Eukaryota; Metazoa; Chordata; Mammalia; Rodentia; Bathyergidae. The record is from RNAcentral.
ACAUGGCAUCUGGCUUCAUCAGAGUGAGCAAGAGAGAGGGCAAACAUGAUAGGAAACCUACAUCUCCGUGUAAACUAAUCUUGGAAGUGGUGUCCCCUCACUUUUGUCAUGUUUUAUUCAUAAGCAGCAAAUCACUGGGUUCUACCUCAUACAUAAGGAGAGUUCAUUCAGCAAGGACAUGCAUACCAAGAGAUGCAGAGCACUAUGAUAUAUUUUGGCUGUUGUCUCUUUCUCCAGGAUUGUGGGCAGUGACCUCACAGCUUGCUGAUCAUGAAUCAAGAAUUAACCCUGAAGAAAAUGUAUGGGGAGAAUGUGGCCUCAAACUGAUUCAGAGAAGAGUUAAAAAGAGGAAAUGGACAGCAAACACUCUUCCAGAUUGAAGAAAAAGCAUCCAGGGACUUCCUUUUACAAACCAGAUGGCAGCCUCCAGCUGGCUGCCUUAGAGAUAUUGAAAUUGGAAGACCCAAUAUCUGAGCAGACACGCCCACUUAUAG